UCCUCUGUAGUUCAGUCGGUAGAACGGCGGACUGUUAAUCCGUAUGUCACUGGUUGAGUCCAGUCAGAGGAGCCA
Molecule: transfer RNA, 75 nt
Filed under: Klebsiella pneumoniae
Lineage: Bacteria; Pseudomonadati; Pseudomonadota; Gammaproteobacteria; Enterobacterales; Enterobacteriaceae
Also listed under: 1 other name
Description: tRNA-Asn
Rfam family: tRNA
About the family: Transfer RNA (tRNA) molecules are approximately 80 nucleotides in length. Their secondary structure includes four short double-helical elements and three loops (D, anti-codon, and T loops). Further hydrogen bonds mediate the characteristic L-shaped molecular structure. tRNAs have two regions of fundamental functional importance: the anti-codon, which is responsible for specific mRNA codon recognition, and the 3' end, to which the tRNAs corresponding amino acid is attached (by aminoacyl-tRNA synthetases). tRNAs cope with the degeneracy of the genetic code in two manners: having more than one tRNA (with a specific anti-codon) for a particular amino acid; and 'wobble' base-pairing, i.e. permitting non-standard base-pairing at the 3rd anti-codon position.
Source: RNAcentral